GAUGAACGCUAGCGGCAGGCCUAGUACAUGCAAGUCGAACGGUAAGUUAGGUAGCAAUAUCUGACCAAGAGUGGCGUAAGGGUGCGUAACACGUAUGCAAUCUGCCCUGUACAGGUGAAUAGCUCGGGGAAACUCGAAUUAACACACCGUAAUAUCGCGAAGAGGCAUCUUUUUGCGAUUAAAACUGAGGUGGUACAGGA
RNAcentral lists this ribosomal RNA (200 nucleotides) under uncultured bacterium. RNAcentral's name for it is "partial 16S ribosomal RNA". It matches the Rfam family "Bacterial small subunit ribosomal RNA", at positions 28 to 225 of the family's 1533-position model. The record is from RNAcentral.